GUGAUUAUCGGUCGAAACCGAUCACCGUCCAUUCCUCUUCUCCUCAAACCCUAUACCCCCACUCCAUUCCUCCUCUCCGUUAGAUGUCUUCCGUUGCUGUUCGCCAUUGACCUUUUGUUGCUGUUCACCGUCGACCAUUUGUUGCUGUUCGCCGUCGGUCAGAUCUGCACGCUCUGAGUCAUUGUCUCCACCUGCUAGUAUAUCUUCCUAAAUAUGAGGAUUGGCAAGAACGUGAAGCUCAACCAAUCGCCCUGGGUUGCGAUUUUCUUCGCCUAAGACUCGCACCAGGUCAAUCCCCCAAUCUUUCUCUCUUGCUUUCUUUCAUUUUCUCUCACAGAUCUGCCAAAAUCCUCUAUCUAUUCCACCGUUUCUUCUCUAGAACAAAAAUACGAUUUUGCUUUAAAAAACUCUAUUAUGCCAAUAACAAAUUGAAUGUAUUUGGUUUUAGAUAAAUGGAUAUAUCAUAUAUGAGCCCAAAAAAAUUGUAGGCGACGCAUCGGUUCCAUGAUAAAUGGAUAUAUCAUAUAUGAGUCAUGGAGAAGUCCAUCAAACAGGACGAACAGCAAAUACUCAUUUGUAUCCCCACCUCGUCUACAAGCCCUAAGAAAUCAAAGAUCAGUCUUUGCAUCCCAGGAUCAGAGGCAACGCCGUCGCCUAUUGCAUCGAGUUCAUGAAGAAGACGGCUUCUGCAAACAAGGAGAACUGCAUCGAGUUCAUCGAUGUGCAGAAAUGACAUUUUUUUUUUUAAGGUUGGGUAUACGGGUUCGACCUGCUUUUAUUUUGUUUGGGUAGCGGAUCGGUUUGGCGCCUUAAGUGGGGACGUUCGGGUCGGUUCAUGCACAAACCCAAUGGUUCCAAGUCGGGGUUGCAGGCCUAGCUCCAGGAAAGGAGAAGAAGGUUGUUGAAGUGUAGAUAGUUUUAGUAGGAAGAGAAAGGGGUAGUUGUAUUGGGAUCUUGGCUCGUGUUGCAGUGAGAAAACUUAAAAUAACGUCCAUUUACAUAUACGCGGUGUUAACGUUGUAUUUCAUAUGCUUGAACAAGGUCCUAAUAAUUCGAAUCGAGAUCUUCACCUGCAAACACAUGAGAGAAAGUGGGUUUGUGGUAGAUUAGUGAACUUCUGAUACUUAAGUUAGUCUCAUGUAUGUAUAAUAAUGACAGGAAAAUAGCAUAAUUCAAAAAGACUUUUUUGUGCUUGGGGGCCGGCUUUUAAACAAAAUUUAUGGGGACAUUUCGUACCCUAUGUCAAGGGGCUCAUGUCAUUCAAAGCAUGCUCCACAUUAUAAUAGAAAAGUGUGGAACCACGAAGGUCAGUUUGCUUCAUCUGUACUUGUAGUACGUCUAUCAAAGGAAAGAGGUGAGUUGAUCGGGGGGAUGUCAACUCAAUAUUUUCGUUCUUAUUGACAUAGGAGACUAGAGAGAAAUUUGAGAAUACAACAAUGCCUUUUACCGAUCACUCAAUGUCAACACAUACGUACAUUGACAAUAUUAAUAUUAUUACGUAUUUAUUUUAGAGUAAUGCUAUACAACACACUUUCAUCCUAUUAAGUUGCUCAUUUAUCACCAUUGGAUGAUAUAGAAAUAUGUAAUAAAUGAUCAUUUAAUGA
Carya illinoinensis is the source of this 1604-nucleotide long non-coding RNA. RefSeq lists it as uncharacterized. The transcript has 2 exons. Lineage: Eukaryota; Viridiplantae; Streptophyta; Magnoliopsida; Fagales; Juglandaceae. The record is from RefSeq and is a predicted model, not a curated record.